GAUGAACGCUAGCGACAGGCUUAACACAUGCAAGUCGAGGGGCAGCACAGGUAGCACUACCGGGUGGCGACCGGCGCACGGGUGAGUAACGCGUAUGCAACUUACCUAUCAGAGGGGGAUAACCCGGCGAAAGUCGGACUAAUACCGCAUGAAGCAGGGGUCCCGCAUGGGGAUAUUUGCUAAAGAUUCAUCGCUGAUAGAUAGGCAUGCGUUCCAUUGGGCAGUUGGCGGGGUAACGGCCCACCAAACCAACGAGGGAUAGGGGUUCGGAGAGGAUGGGAGGCGACCGUGGAAGUGAGAAAGGGUGAAUAGUGGUCGGGGAGGCAGCAGUAGGGAAUGUUGAGGAAUGGGCGGAAGCAUUACGGAGUAACGCCGCGUGAGGGAGGAAGGGCUUGGGAUCGUAAAACUGUUUUAUUAGGGAAGAAUAAAUGUGGAAGUAAAUGUGCACAGCUUGACGGUACCUAAUCAGAAAGCAACGGCUAAAUACGUG
Molecule: ribosomal RNA, 490 nt
Filed under: uncultured bacterium
Lineage: Bacteria
Description: partial 16S ribosomal RNA
Rfam family: Bacterial small subunit ribosomal RNA
Source: RNAcentral